GAUGAACGCUGGCGGCGUGCCUAAUACAUGCAAGUCGAGCGAACAGACGAGGAGCUUGCUCCUCUGACGUUAGCGGCGGACGGGUGAGUAACACGUGGAUAACCUACCUAUAAGACUGGGAUAACUUCGGGAAACCGGAGCUAAUACCGGAUAAUAUAUUGAACCGCAUGGGUCAAUAGUGAAAGACGGUUUUGCUGUCACUUAUAGAUGGAUCCGCGCCGCAUUAGCUAGUUGGUAAGGUAACGGCUUACCAAGGCGACGAUGCGUAGCCGACCUGAGAGGGUGAUCGGCCACACGGGAACUGAGACACGGUCCAGACUCCUACGGGAGGCAGCAGUAGGGAAUCUUCCGCAAUGGGCGAAAGCCUGACGGAGCAACGCCGCGUGAGUGAUGAAGGUCUUCGGAUCGUAAAACUCUGUUAUUAGGGAAGAACAAAUGUGUAAGUAACUAUGCACGUCUUGACGGUACCUAAUCAGAAAGCCACGGCUAACUACGUG
This 497-nucleotide ribosomal RNA is filed under the name uncultured bacterium. RNAcentral describes it as "partial 16S ribosomal RNA". It matches the Rfam family "Bacterial small subunit ribosomal RNA", at positions 28 to 507 of the family's 1533-position model. The record is from RNAcentral.